ACAACAACAACAAAACCCUCCUGGAGCUAUUAAGUGAUUACGGCAAGGUUGCAGAAUACAAGCUCGGACUCUGGGCUCUCCGACCUGGCCACUGUGAUCUGCAGCCAAGAAAUGAAUCUCUCUAGGAAAGAGAUCUAGAAUCAACGGAGAAAUGCUUUUUUAACUCUCCAGUUACUUUAAUGAGUGCGGGACACACUGGGACACACUGGACUUGAUAUAAGUUCUGGGGCAUGCCCAGUCUCCUGCAGAAGAUGGUAUGCGGCGGAAGUAUUCCAGCUCAGGUGAGGAAGCUGAGGACUCAGAAAUUAAAUAACUUGCCUAAGGUGGCAGAGCUCUCUUCAAAAAGAUAAUCGUGUAAGACAGACUGGCUAUGCAUUAGCGCAGUGUUCUUCAAA
Galeopterus variegatus (Sunda flying lemur) is the source of this 395-nucleotide long non-coding RNA. RefSeq lists it as uncharacterized. The record is from RefSeq and is a predicted model, not a curated record. Lineage: Eukaryota; Metazoa; Chordata; Mammalia; Dermoptera; Cynocephalidae. The transcript is spliced from 4 exons.